Molecule: ribosomal RNA, 425 nt
Filed under: uncultured bacterium
Lineage: Bacteria
Description: bacterial SSU rRNA
Rfam family: Bacterial small subunit ribosomal RNA
Source: RNAcentral
AGGGAACCUUCCGCAAUGGACGAAAGUCUGACGGAGCAACGCCGCGUGAGUGAUGAAGGUUUUCGGAUCGUAAAACUCUGUUGUUAGGGAAGAACAAGUAUCGGAGUAACUGCCGGUACCUUGACGGUACCUAACCAGAAAGCCACGGCUAACUACGUGCCAGCAGCCGCGGUAAUACGUAGGUGGCAAGCGUUGUCCGGAAUUAUUGGGCGUAAAGCGCGCGCAGGUGGUUCCUUAAGUCGGAUGUGAAAGGCCACGGCUCAACCGUGGAGGGUCAUUGGAAACUGGGGAACUUGAGUGCAGAAGAGGAAAGUGGAAUUCCAAGUGUAGCGGUGAAAUGCGUAGAGAUUUGGAGGAACACCAGUGGCGAAGGCGACUUUCUGGUCUGUAACUGACACUGAGGCGCGAAAGCGUGGGGAGCGAAC